Molecule: ribosomal RNA, 253 nt
Filed under: uncultured bacterium
Lineage: Bacteria
Description: partial 16S ribosomal RNA
Rfam family: Bacterial small subunit ribosomal RNA
Source: RNAcentral
GACAGAGGGUGCAAACGUUGUUCGGAAUUACUGGGCGUAAAGCGCGUGUAGGCAGCUCGGCAAGUCGGGUGUGAAAGCCCUGGGCUCAACCUAGGAAGUGCACUCGAAACUUCCGAGCUGGAGUGCUGGAGAGGAAGGCGGAAUUCUCGGUGUAGAGGUGAAAUUCGUAGAUAUCGAGAGGAACACCGGUGGCGAAGGCGGCCUUCUGGACAGUUACUGACGCUGAGACGCGAAAGCGUGGGGAGCAAACAGG